AUGCCGGGGCAGCUUCACUUCUUCACCUCCUCGUACUCGGCCUCUGGGGCCUGGUCACCUCCGCCCUGCGACCCUCCUUCCUGGGAACCGCCAGCCGCGCCGCCUCCAGCCGCUCCACCACCGGACAUGUGCUCCCCGAUCUUUGAGACCGCCUUGUUGGCCGCUUCCAUCUUGCUCUUUAUCUUCUCAAUGUCGUCAGAGGCCAUCUCCGUGCGGAGAUCAGCAACCGCCGUCUCGAUCUCGGUGGCGACCUCCGCGGGGAUCUUGUCCCUGUACUCUCCCAGGCUCUUCUCGAUGCUGUAA
RNAcentral lists this ribosomal RNA (303 nucleotides) under Triticum aestivum (bread wheat). RNAcentral describes it as "partial small subunit ribosomal RNA". The record is from RNAcentral. Lineage: Eukaryota; Viridiplantae; Streptophyta; Magnoliopsida; Poales; Poaceae.